UACGUAGGGUCCGAGCGUUUGUCCGGAAUUACUGGGCGUAAAGAGCUCGUAGGUGGUUUGUCACGUUGUUCGUGAAAACCCACAGCUCAACUGUGGGCGUGCGAGCGAUACGGGCAGACUAGAGUACUGCAGGGGAGACUGGAAUUCCUGGUGUAGCGGUGGAAUGCGCAGAUAUCAGGAGGAACACCGGUGGCGAAGGCGGGUCUCUGGGCAGUAACUGACGCUGAGGAGCGAAAGCGUGGGGAGCGAACAGG
Molecule: ribosomal RNA, 254 nt
Filed under: uncultured bacterium
Lineage: Bacteria
Description: partial 16S ribosomal RNA
Rfam family: Bacterial small subunit ribosomal RNA
Source: RNAcentral